This 481-nucleotide unclassified non-coding RNA is filed under the name Hevea brasiliensis (rubber tree). The record is from RNAcentral. Lineage: Eukaryota; Viridiplantae; Streptophyta; Magnoliopsida; Malpighiales; Euphorbiaceae.
AAUCGCUAUAAGCACCUUCCUGAGGUUAAGCGAAUUGUAAGGCAUAGACACUUGCCGAAACCCAUAUACAAAGCUGCUUCUCUUAGACGUACAAUGACUGAAGCUGAAAGGAGGAAAGAAGAAAGAAGGAAAGCUCAUAGUGCUCCAGGAAGUGUUGCCACUGAACCAUUACGUAAAAGAAGAAUCAUCCAAGAAGUUGAGUGAGUUAUGGCAUUAUCAGUUACUUUGAUCAUCUGUCCUCGGCGUGAAGGUCCCUAGGUCAGGCCAUUCCCUGGUUGCCAUUCCCCAUUGUGGUCCAAAGUGAACUAAACAUGCAAGCUCUAGAGAAUCAUUAUUACAAGCUCUUUGUAUUUAACAGUUUUGAUAGGCCAAGCUCUUCCAUGUUAGUGUUACAUGAUCAAAUAAUUUUUUCCCCCUUCUAAUGGUCGAGAAAACUUUGAUUUAUUUUUUUGUUAAACAGAAAAAUAAAUCAAAGUUUUCU